GGGAGGACCAGUGGAAGAAGAAAGCUACCAUUUCUCAGCUUGAGAGAGUCUGCUCAUCGUUGGAGGGGUCGCACUGAGAUCUCUGGCUUUCAUAUGAGAAGAUGGUAAAAAAGGAGAAAAAGAGAAAUAAAUUCUUCAGCAAGAUGUGGAAAGGGGUAAAGGACCUGUGAAAGGUCCUAAAAACUCGAGAUAGACUUCAUUCCUCCUAAGUAGAGAGCAAUGAUGAGGCCCCAGC
RNAcentral lists this long non-coding RNA (235 nucleotides) under Capsicum annuum. RNAcentral describes it as "long non-coding RNA (CANN_LNC006567)". The record is from RNAcentral. Lineage: Eukaryota; Viridiplantae; Streptophyta; Magnoliopsida; Solanales; Solanaceae.